This 249-nucleotide ribosomal RNA is filed under the name uncultured bacterium. RNAcentral's name for it is "partial 16S ribosomal RNA". It matches the Rfam family "Bacterial small subunit ribosomal RNA", at positions 524 to 769 of the family's 1533-position model. The record is from RNAcentral.
UACGUAGGGCGCAAGCGUUGUCCGGAAUCAUUGGGCGUAAAGGGCGCGUAGGCGGCCUUUCUAAGUCGAACGUGAAAUCCCCGGGCUCAACCCGGGAACUGCGUCCGAUACUGGAAGGCUUGAAUCCGGGAGAGGGAUGCGGAAUUCCGAGGUGUAGCGGUGAAAUGCGUAGAUAUCUGGAGGAACACCGGUGGCGAAGGCGGCAUCCUGGACCGGCAUUGACGCUGACGGCGCGAAAGCCGGGGGAGC